This 84-nucleotide transfer RNA is filed under the name Caldithrix sp. RNAcentral describes it as "tRNA-Leu". It matches the Rfam family "tRNA". From Rfam's summary of the family: Transfer RNA (tRNA) molecules are approximately 80 nucleotides in length. The record is from RNAcentral. Lineage: Bacteria; Pseudomonadati; Calditrichota; Calditrichia; Calditrichales; Calditrichaceae. RNAcentral also lists the same sequence under 1 other name.
GCGAAAGUGGCGGAAUUGGCAGACGCGCUAGGUUCAGGGUCUAGUGCUCGCAAGGGCAUGGGGGUUCAAGUCCCCCCUUUCGCA